RNAcentral lists this microRNA (24 nucleotides) under Xenopus tropicalis (tropical clawed frog). RNAcentral's name for it is "Xtr-Mir-29-P1d_5p* (star (passenger))". Lineage: Eukaryota; Metazoa; Chordata; Amphibia; Anura; Pipidae. The record is from RNAcentral.
GCUGGUUUCUUGUGGUGACUUAGA